ACUGGGAUUAGAUACCCCACUAUGCUCAGCCAUAAACCUAGGCGUCCAACUACAAUUAGACGUCCGCCCGGGUACUACGAGCAUUAGCUUGAAACCCAAGGGACCUGACGGUGCCUCAGACCCCCCUAGAGGAGCCUGUUCUAGAACCGAUAACCCCCGUUAAACCUCACCACUUCUAGCCACCCCAGCCUAUAUACCGCCGUCGUCAGCUUACCCUGUGAAGGCAAUAAAAGUAAGCAAAAUGGGCACAACCCAGAACGUCAGGUCGAGGUGUAGCGUACGAAGCGGGAAGAAAUGGGCUACAUUUUCUAUUAUAGAACACUACGGACAUGCAACAUGAAAUAGUGCUUGAAGGAGGAUUUAGUAGUAAAAAGGAAGCAGAGUGUCCUUUUGAACCCGGCUCUGAGGCGCGUACACACCGCCCGUCACCCUCU
RNAcentral lists this ribosomal RNA (434 nucleotides) under Pimephales promelas (fathead minnow). Its description in RNAcentral is "partial 12S ribosomal RNA". It matches the Rfam family "Bacterial small subunit ribosomal RNA", at positions 771 to 1405 of the family's 1533-position model. The record is from RNAcentral. Lineage: Eukaryota; Metazoa; Chordata; Actinopteri; Cypriniformes; Leuciscidae.